This is a small nucleolar RNA of Drosophila melanogaster (fruit fly), 141 nucleotides long. The record is from Ensembl. Lineage: Eukaryota; Metazoa; Arthropoda; Insecta; Diptera; Drosophilidae.
GCUUAGACGCCCUGACCUUGAGGAUGAUUUUUGGCAAAGCUCGUUAGACUGAUAAAUGCGUUUCAGUUGCAUUUCCCCCAGACAUAGACAUUGAGUAUAUAUCGAUGCUGGUCUCGUCUGAAAAAUAGGAUUGUUUUUAGC